CCUACGGGAGGCAGCAGUGAGGAAUAUUGGUCAAUGGACGAGAGUCUGAACCAGCCAAGUAGCGUGAAGGAUGACUGCCCUAUGGGUUGUAAACUUCUUUUAUAUGGGAAUAAAAUGUUCCACGUGUGGGAUUUUGUAUGUACCAUAUGAAUAAGGAUCGGCUAACUCCGUGCCAGCAGCCGCUGUAAUAAGGAGGAUCCGAGCGUUAUACGGAUUUAUUGGGUUUAAAGGGAGCGUAGGUGGGUUGUUAAGUCAGUUGUGAAAGUUUGCGGCUCAACCGUAAAAUUGCAGUUGAAACUGGCAGUCUUGAGUACAGUAGAGGUGGGCGGAAUUCGUGGUGUAGCGGUGAAAUGCUUAGAGAUCACGAAGAACUACGAUUGCGAAGGCAGUUCACUGGACUGCAACUGACACUGAGGCUCGAAAGUGUGGGUAUCAAACAGGAUUAGAUACCCGUGUAGUC
Molecule: ribosomal RNA, 460 nt
Filed under: uncultured bacterium
Lineage: Bacteria
Description: partial 16S ribosomal RNA
Rfam family: Bacterial small subunit ribosomal RNA
Source: RNAcentral